AGCGAACGCUGGCGGCGUGCGUAACACAUGCAAGUCGAGCGAAGGUGUUUCAAGGGUAACCUUGAGAUACACUUAGCGGCGGACGGGUGAGUAAUACGUGGAUAACUUACCUCUAGGCCUGGGAUAACCCCGGGAAACUGGGGCUAAUACCUGAUAAGACCACAUUGUCUACGGACAAAGGGGUAAAAGGUGGCUGUGCAAACAGCUAUCGCCAAAAGAUAGGUUCACGUCCCAUCAGGCAGUGGUGAGGUAAUGGCUCACCAAACCAAAGACGGGUAGCCGGCCUUGGCGGGUGAACGGCCACACGGGGACUGAGACACGGCCCCGACUCCUACGGGAGGCAGCAGUGGGGAAUAUUGGGCAAUGGGCGCAAGCCUGACCCAGCGACGUCGCGUUGGGGAAGAAGGCC
Molecule: ribosomal RNA, 409 nt
Filed under: uncultured bacterium
Lineage: Bacteria
Description: bacterial SSU rRNA
Rfam family: Bacterial small subunit ribosomal RNA
Source: RNAcentral